This 216-nucleotide long non-coding RNA is filed under the name Elaeis guineensis (African oil palm). RNAcentral's name for it is "long non-coding RNA (EGUI_LNC061005)". The record is from RNAcentral. Lineage: Eukaryota; Viridiplantae; Streptophyta; Magnoliopsida; Arecales; Arecaceae.
UUUGGGUUUUAGAUUGUCCUCGCUUCUUUGCCACAGAUCCUCCUUCUCCUUUUGUUUUCUACUUUCGUGAGUUUCUUUUCGAGUGAGAAGAAUGGCCUCCAGAGAUCCUAACUUCGUGCCUCUAGGGUUUCAUCUGAGCUGACUGAGAGGGAUAUAGUGCUACUCUUGAGUAGUUUCAAAUCCUCUAGUAUUUCAGUUGGAUGUUUUUGGGCCAGA